CCUGGCUCAGAUUGAACGCUGGCGGCAUGCUUUACACAUGCAAGUCGAACGGUAACAGGGAGCUUGCUCCGCUGACGUAGUGGCGAACGGGUGAGUAAUGCAUACGGAACGUACCCAGUCGUGGGGGAUAACGUAGCGAAAGUUACGCUAAUACCGCAUACGUCCUGAGGGAGAAAGCGGGGGACCGUAAGGCCUCGCGCGAUUGGAGCGGCCGAUGUCGGAUUAGCUAGUUGGUAGGGUAAAAGGCCUACCAAGGCGACGAUCCGUAGCGGGUCUGAGAGGAUGAUCCGCCACACUGGGACUGAGACACGGCCCCAGACUCCUACGGGAGGCAGCAGUGGGGAAUUUUGGACAAUGGGCGAAAGCCUGAUCCAGCCAUGCCGCGUGAGUGAAGAAGGCCUUCGGGUUGUAAAGCUCUUUCAGCCGGAAAAGAAAUCGCGCAGGAUAAUACUCUGCGUGGAUGACGGUAC
RNAcentral lists this ribosomal RNA (470 nucleotides) under uncultured bacterium. Its description in RNAcentral is "bacterial SSU rRNA". It matches the Rfam family "Bacterial small subunit ribosomal RNA", at positions 18 to 478 of the family's 1533-position model. The record is from RNAcentral.